GACGAGUGGUCCAAGCGUUAGUCGGAAUCACUGGGCUUAAAGGGUGCGUAGGCGGAUGAGUAAGUGCCUUGUGAAAGCCCCCGGCUCAACCGGGGAAAUGCAGGGCAUACUGCUCGUCUUGAGGAAGGUAGAGGCCGGCGGAACGAUAGGUGGAGCGGUGGAAUGCGUAGAGAUCUAUCGGAACGCCAAGUGUGAAGACAGCCGGCUGGGCCUUUCCUGACGCUGAGGCACGAAAGCGUGGGGAGCAAACAGG
This 253-nucleotide ribosomal RNA is filed under the name uncultured bacterium. Its description in RNAcentral is "partial 16S ribosomal RNA". It matches the Rfam family "Bacterial small subunit ribosomal RNA", at positions 524 to 776 of the family's 1533-position model. The record is from RNAcentral.